AACCAAAUAUACAUUAACUGUGUGUCUUUGUUGUGCAUCAUAACCUAGAAGAGGUGUCCAUAGUCUUUACACCAUACAGAGAUGGCCGACCUGCAGCCAAAAAGAGGACAGCACCUCCGUGGUUAACCAAAGCAUCAUGCACCUCCACAUACACACACAAGUUUUUCUGUAUGAGUAGCAGAAAGGACUGCCAAGUGCCCUCAUCAUCUUAUAAAGAGGAGCUCACAGCUGCUGGAAUGGGGGAGCGCAAAAUAGUAUUCCCAGUGCUGGGGAUUUCUCCGUGCAGGUGGUCCACCACUGUCCCAAACUCCCGGAGCAUGGCACUAAUGAAUGGAAAGCUGCAAAGGAUCCAGAAAGGGCAGCUGGGAUCUACAGAAGACAUUUACUGAAACAUUCAAGAGCAUGAAAGCUGUAAUGGACAUGCAAGCCCUGAGGAGAAAGAGCGUGUGGUUGUGGUUUUCUACAAGAAAAAUAACAUCA
Thunnus maccoyii (southern bluefin tuna) is the source of this 480-nucleotide long non-coding RNA. RefSeq lists it as uncharacterized. The record is from RefSeq and is a predicted model, not a curated record. The transcript has 3 exons. NCBI's taxonomy places the organism in Eukaryota, Metazoa, Chordata, Actinopteri, Scombriformes, Scombridae.